RNAcentral lists this ribosomal RNA (431 nucleotides) under uncultured bacterium. RNAcentral describes it as "partial 16S ribosomal RNA". It matches the Rfam family "Bacterial small subunit ribosomal RNA", at positions 29 to 507 of the family's 1533-position model. The record is from RNAcentral.
AACGAACGCUGGCGGCAGGCCUAACACAUGCAAGUCGAGCGCCCCGCAAGGGGAGCGGCGGACGGGUGAGUAACGCGUGGGAAUAUGCCCUUUGCUACGGAAUAGUCUCGGGAAACUGGGGGUAAUACCGUAUACGCCCUUUGGGGGAAAGAUUUAUCGGCGAAGGAUUAGCCCGCGUUGGAUUAGGUAGUUGGUGGGGUAAUGGCCUACCAAGCCGACGAUCCAUAGCUGGUUUGAGAGGAUGAUCAGCCACACUGGGACUGAGACACGGCCCAGACUCCUACGGGAGGCAGCAGUGGGGAAUCUUAGACAAUGGGGGCAACCCUGAUCUAGCCAUGCCGCGUGAGUGAUGAAGGCCUUAGGGUUGUAAAGCUCUUUCAGCUGGGAAGAUAAUGACGGUACCAGCAGAAGAAGCCCUGGCUAACUCCGUG